This 855-nucleotide ribosomal RNA is filed under the name uncultured bacterium. RNAcentral's name for it is "SSU rRNA". It matches the Rfam family "Bacterial small subunit ribosomal RNA", at positions 524 to 1381 of the family's 1533-position model. The record is from RNAcentral.
UACGGAGGAUCCAAGCGUUAUCCGGAUUUAUUGGGUUUAAAGGGUGCGUAGGCGGACUCUUAAGUCAGUGGUGAAAGUUUGCCGCUCAACGGUAAAAUUGCCAUUGAAACUGAGAGUCUUGAGUGCAAAUGAGGUAGGCGGAAUGUAUUGUGUAGCGGUGAAAUGCUUAGAUAUAAUACAGAACACCAAUUGCGAAGGCAGCUUACUGGGAUGCAACUGACGCUGAUGCACGAAAGCGUGGGGAUCAAACAGGAUUAGAUACCCUGGUAGUCCACGCAGUAAACGAUGAAUGCUAGCUGUAUGCGAUAUACUGUAUGCGGCACAGCGAAAGCGUUAAGUAUUCCACCUGGGGAGUACGUUCGCAAGAAUGAAACUCAAAGGAAUUGACGGGGGCCCGCACAAGCGGAGGAACAUGUGGUUUAAUUCGAUGAUACGCGAGGAACCUUACCCGGGCUUGAAAUGCAGACGACGAAUGGUGAAAGCUAUUUUCCAGCAAUGGCGUCUGUGUAGGUGCUGCAUGGUUGUCGUCAGCUCGUGCCGUGAGGUGUCGGCUUAAGUGCCAUAACGAGCGCAACCCCUAUGUUUAGUUACUAACAGGUCAAGCUGAGGACUCUAGACAGACUGCCACCGUAAGGUGCGAGGAAGGUGGGGAUGACGUCAAAUUAGCACGGCCCUUACGUCCGGGGCGACACACGUGUUACAAUGGGGGGUACAGAGGGUUGCUACUUGGUGACAAGAUGCUAAUCUCAUAAAGCCUCUCUCAGUUCGGAUCGGAGUCUGCAACUCGACUCCGUGAAGCUGGAUUCGCUAGUAAUCGCGCAUCAGCCAUGGCGCGGUGAAUACGUUCCCGGGCCU